This is a long non-coding RNA of Cannabis sativa, 1392 nucleotides long. RefSeq lists it as uncharacterized. NCBI's taxonomy places the organism in Eukaryota, Viridiplantae, Streptophyta, Magnoliopsida, Rosales, Cannabaceae. The record is from RefSeq and is a predicted model, not a curated record. The transcript is spliced from 2 exons.
UUAUAGUCAAAGUUUACAUGAAACUUUUUUUUUAAUACUAUGCUGUCUACUCUCUUAAAUCAUUACUCUAUUGGAAAGUAAUAAUUUUAUAGUGACAUUUUCAAAUCUCAAACAUAACAAAGAGAAAUAAUAAGCAAAUCAAACUAUACUUAUUAUUAUUAUUAUUAUUAUUAUUAUUAUUAUUAGCUUGAUCAUGAUGAUUGUCAUUUCUACUACCUAUUUUAAUAAUUUUUUUCAAUGUUAUUAUUAGUGUUUUGGUUACUAGCAAGGAUCGUUACAAAGUUAACGUGGUCAUUUUAAAUUAGAAGAGGUACGUGUGCAUAUUAAUUUUUUUCUGUUAAUUAAUAUUAUACAAAUGUUAGAGGAGUUUGAAUAUCCUAAAUAUUCAUCCAUAGCGAAGUAGGUUUUGAUAUUAAUUGUGUGUUGCGGUGAUAACGGAAGGUUUCUAACUUGUGUGCCUUAGUGAAGUAGGUUCUGCGAAAAUUUGAUUGUGUUGCGGUGGUAUAAGGAUGAAAACUUAUUGCGUGUUGGUUGAAUUGUUUGAAUUAUUUGUUUGCUAUAACAGGUGGUUAGGUUAAUAUUAUAGGGGAAAUGCUGUCCAAUUUUUUUUAGAAUUUUAUUUGUUAGUAUUGAUAAAUGUUUGCUUGUUUGAUUUGAUCGUAUUUUCAAUGAAAUUUUAUGUGCUUCAUUUUUAUUUUUAUUUUUUAUAAUUUCAUAAUGAUGAUGUAGGAAGAAAAAUAUGGAUAAAAAAUAGAUGUCAACAAAUAGGUUAUCUAAGGAGUAUAGAAAUGGUGUUGAAUUCUUCAUAAGAUUUUGUAUGGAAAAUAUGGUAGACCCAAAUGAUACUUUUUGUCCAUGGGAAAGGUAUCAUCACGUGCUACAUGAGGUAUAUUACUUGAUAUAUAUAAUAAAUUUAUUAUUUUUAACUUUAUUCUUGUUAUCUAUUCAAAAAUUAAUCUAAGGUAGCUUUGUAUAAAUUUUCUAUUAGGAUACUAUAUCAAUGGCUCGUACAACAUAAUCGCCAACAAUUGUUUCAAGCUUCGAAUCGGAAACACUUUUUGGCCAAGUUAAGUGAUGCAAAGUAUACAGAAGAAGAAAUUGAUGAAGUGAAAGAGCAUUGAGCAAGUGAGAUGUUAUCGGUUAUUCAAACUUACCGACGUUAGUUGUUUUUUGUUUUAAUAAAGCAAGUGAGAGGUUAUCGGUUAUUCAAACUUACCGAUGUUAGUUGUUUUUUGUUUUAAUAGACCAAUAGUUAUUAUAUAAUUUUAUAAUUAUGGAUUUAUUAGUAUAAGUAACUAAUAUGUAAUAUUUAUUAAUUUUGUUGAUGUGAAUUAUUAUAAUAGUCUAAUUUAUAAAUUUUACAUUUAGUCAAAUAAAAUUAUUAUUGUUAUA